This 82-nucleotide transfer RNA is filed under the name marine bacterium B5-7. RNAcentral describes it as "tRNA-Tyr". It matches the Rfam family "tRNA". From Rfam's summary of the family: Transfer RNA (tRNA) molecules are approximately 80 nucleotides in length. Their secondary structure includes four short double-helical elements and three loops (D, anti-codon, and T loops). Lineage: Bacteria; Pseudomonadati; Pseudomonadota; Gammaproteobacteria. The record is from RNAcentral.
GGAGGGGUGCCCGAGUGGUUAAAGGGGGCAGACUGUAAAUCUGUUAGCUUCGCUUACGUAGGUUCGAAUCCUACUCCCUCCA